Molecule: non-coding RNA, 146 nt
Filed under: Nomascus leucogenys (northern white-cheeked gibbon)
Lineage: Eukaryota; Metazoa; Chordata; Mammalia; Primates; Hylobatidae
Source: Rfam by way of RNAcentral
GCCAGGUGUGGUGGUGCAUGCCUGUAGUCCCAGCUACUUAGGAGGCUGAGGCAGGAGGAUUGCUUGAGCCCAGGAGUUUGAGGCUGCAGUGAGCUAUGAUUGCACCACUGCACUCCAGCCUGGGUGACAGGGCAAGACCCUGUCCA